AUUGAACGCUGGCUGCAGGCCUAACACAUGCAAGUCGAGCGAGCGGCGGACGGGUGAGUAAUGUCUGGGAAACUGCCUGAUGGAGGGGGAUAACUACUGGAAACGGUAACUAAUACCGCAUACCAUCAGAUGUGCCCAGAUGGGAUUAGCUAGUAGGUGGGGUAAUGGCGCACAUAGGAGACGAUCCCUAGCUGGUCUGAUAGGGUGACCAGCCACACUGGAACUGAGACACGGGCCAGACUCCUACGAGAGGCAGCAGUGGGGAAUAGUGCAAAAUGGGCGCAAGCCUGAUGCAGCCAUGCCGCGUGUGUGAAGAAGGCCUUCGGGUUGUAAAGCACUUUCAGCGAGGAGGCGUUACUCGCAGAAGAAGCACCGGCUAACUCCGUGCCAGCCGCCGCGGUAAUUC
This 406-nucleotide ribosomal RNA is filed under the name uncultured bacterium. RNAcentral's name for it is "partial 16S ribosomal RNA". It matches the Rfam family "Bacterial small subunit ribosomal RNA", at positions 30 to 526 of the family's 1533-position model. The record is from RNAcentral.